RNAcentral lists this ribosomal RNA (414 nucleotides) under uncultured bacterium. RNAcentral's name for it is "bacterial SSU rRNA". It matches the Rfam family "Bacterial small subunit ribosomal RNA", at positions 29 to 433 of the family's 1533-position model. The record is from RNAcentral.
AAUGAACGCUGGCGGCGCGCCUAAUACAUGCAAGUCGAGCGAGAAGACGUAGCAAUACGUUUGUAAAGCGGCGAACGGGUGAGGAAUACAUGGGUAACCUACCCUCGAGUGGGGAAUAACUAGCCGAAAGGUUAGCUAAUACCGCGUACGCUUCUUGGACUUCGGUUCAGGGAGGAAAGCGAUACCGUGGGUAUCGCGCUCUUGGAUGGGCUCAUGUCCUAUCAGCUUGUUGGUGAGGUAACGGCUCACCAAGGCUUCGACGGGUAGCUGGUCUGAGAGGACGAUCAGCCACACUGGCACUGCGACACGGGCCAGACUCCUACGGGAGGCAGCAGUAAGGAAUAUUGCGCAAUGGGCGAAAGUCUGACGCAGCGACGCCGCGUGGGGGAUGAAGGUCUUCGGAUUGUAAACCCC